GAUGAACGCUAGCGGCAGGCUUAAUACAUGCAAGUCGAGGGGCAGCAGUCCCGCAGCAAUGCGGGAGCUGGCGACCGGCAAACGGGCGCGGAACACGUACAGAACCUUCCUUCGAGCGGGGAAUAGCCCAGAGAAAUUUGGAUUAAUACCCCAUAGCAUUACGAAGUGGCAUCACUUUGUAAUUAAAGAUUUAUCACUCGAAGAUGGCUGUGCGGCUGAUAGGUAGUUGGCGGAGUAACGGCCCACCAAGCCUUCGAUCAGUAACUGGUGUGAGAGCACGACCAGUCACACGGGCACUGAGACACGGGCCCGACUCCUACGGGAGGCAGCAGUAAGGAAUAUUGGUCAAUGGACGAAGUCUGAACCAGCCAUGCCGCGUGGAGGAUGAAGGUCCUCUGGAUUGUAAACUUCUUUUAUAUGGGACGAAAAAGGCUUUUCUAAGUCGUCUGACGGUACCAUAUGAAUAAGCACCGGCUAACUCCGUGCC
RNAcentral lists this ribosomal RNA (487 nucleotides) under uncultured bacterium. Its description in RNAcentral is "bacterial SSU rRNA". It matches the Rfam family "Bacterial small subunit ribosomal RNA", at positions 28 to 509 of the family's 1533-position model. The record is from RNAcentral.